Molecule: ribosomal RNA, 739 nt
Filed under: Begonia masoniana
Lineage: Eukaryota; Viridiplantae; Streptophyta; Magnoliopsida; Cucurbitales; Begoniaceae
Description: eukaryotic LSU rRNA
Rfam family: 5.8S ribosomal RNA (bases 249-404)
Source: RNAcentral
UUGUCGAUUCCUGCAAAAUGCAGAACAACCCGCGAACUAGUUUGCCUGCCAACGUCCCGCCGCGCGCGGGAACGGUGCGGGGCGCGUCGGAGCUGCGAACCGCGCUUGCGCGUUUUGAUGCCUCGCGUGCCUCGCGCCCCCUAACGAACCCCGACGUCGAGUUGCGUCAAGGAAUCUUGAACUUAGAACGCGGCUCCCCUGCCCCGAUUUCGGGACCCAGGGGUUCCUGCGAACUGAACACAUCAAACGACUCUCGACAACGGAUAUCUCGGCUCUCGCAUCGAUGAAGAACGUAGUGAAAUGCGAUACUUGGUGUGAAUUGCAGAAUCCCGUGAACCAUCGAGUUUUUGAACGCAAGUUGCGCCCGAAGCCUUCUGGCCGAGGGCACGUCUGCCUGGGCGUCACGCAUCGUAGCCCCCCGCACCACAAAAAAGAAAAAGAAAAACAAUGCCUCGCUGCUCGAAGUGGACACUGGCUCGCGCCUCCUACUUCGAAUCGGGGUUUUGUUGGCCUUUUGGGUGGUGGUCGGGGAGGCGACGUUGGCCUCCCGUGCGGGUAACCUCGCGGUUGGUCUAAAUUCGAGUCCUCGGCGUCUUGCGGCGCGAUCGACGGUGGUUGCAGCAAUGCCCUCGACGAAUUACGUUGCGCCCGCGAGACGCGCGAUCGGGAACUCCUGGUCGACCCUAAUGCGCCGACUCGCUGGACAGCACCAGCGAGAGGACGUUAUCGAAGCGACCCC